This 1390-nucleotide ribosomal RNA is filed under the name uncultured prokaryote. RNAcentral describes it as "partial 16S ribosomal RNA". It matches the Rfam family "Bacterial small subunit ribosomal RNA". The record is from RNAcentral.
GCAAGUCGAGGGGUAACAGGGUAGCAAUACCGCUGACGACCGGCGCACUGGUGAGUAACGCGUAUGCAACCUGCCUAUAACUGGGGAAUAGCUCCCUGAAAGGGGAAUUAACACCGCAUAACACUAUUGAUUCGCAUGGAUUGGUAGUUAAAUGUAGCGAUACAGGUUAUAGAUGGGCAUGCGUGACAUUAGCUAGUUGGUGAGGUAACGGCUCACCAAGGCUACGAUGUCUAGGGGUUCUGAGAGGAAGGUCCCCCACACUGGUACUGAGACACGGACCAGACUCCUACGGGAGGCAGCAGUGAGGAAUAUUGGUCAAUGGGCGCAAGCCUGAACCAGCCAUGUCGCGUGCAGGAAGACUGCCCUAUGGGUUGUAAACUGCUUUUAUAGUAGAAGAAACACAUCUACGCGUAGAUGUCUGCCAGUAUACUAUGAAUAAGCAUCGGCUAACUCCGUGCCAGCAGCCGCGGUAAUACGGAGGAUGCAAGCGUUAUCCGGAUUUAUUGGGUUUAAAGGGUGCGUAGGCGGGACUGUAAGUCAGGGGUGAAAUACUGCAGCUUAACUGUAGCAUUGCCUUUGAAACUGCCGUUCUUGAGUACAGUUGAGGUAGGCGGAAUGUGGUGUGUAGCGGUGAAAUGCAUAGAUAUACCACAGAACGCCGAUUGCGAAGGCAGCUUACUAAGCUGUUACUGACGCUGAGGCACGAAAGCGUGGGGAUCAAACAGGAUUAGAUACCCUGGUAGUCCACGUUGUAAACGAUGGGUGCUAGGUGUUGGAGGUAUCGAUCCCUCCAGUGCCGCAGUAAACGCAAUAAGCACCCCGCCUGGGGACUACGGCCGCAAGGCUGAAACUCAAAGGAAUUGACGGGGGCCCGCACAAGCGGUGGAGCAUGUGGUUUAAUUCGACGCAACGCGAAGAACCUUACCAGGGCUUGACAUCCACAGUACUCGGUGGAAACACUGGGGUGCCCUUCGGGGAACUGUGAGACAGGUGGUGCAUGGUUGUCGUCAGCUCGUGUCGUGAGAUGUUGGGUUAAGUCCCGCAACGAGCGCAACCCCUAUACUUUGUUGCCAGCACUUCGGGUGGGUACUCAAAGUAGACUGCCAGAGACAAUCUGGAGGAAGGUGGGGACGACGUCAAAUCAUCAUGCCCCUUAUGCUCUGGGCGACACACGUGCUACAAUGGUCGGCACAGAGGGCAGCGAACCCGCGAGGGGGAGCGAAUCCCUAAAACCGGCCCUAGUUCGGAUUGCAGGCUGCAACUCGCCUGCAUGAAGCAGGAAUCGCUAGUAAUCGCGGAUCAGCAUGCCGCGGUGAAUACGUUCCCGGGCCUUGUACACACCGCCCGUCACACCACGAAAGUGGUAACACCCGAAGCCGGUGGACUAACC